This is a long non-coding RNA of Mesocricetus auratus (golden hamster), 4593 nucleotides long. RefSeq lists it as uncharacterized. Lineage: Eukaryota; Metazoa; Chordata; Mammalia; Rodentia; Cricetidae. The transcript has 4 exons. The record is from RefSeq and is a predicted model, not a curated record.
CCCAGGAGGCCGAGGAGCACGGCGGUCUGCAUGGCCCCGCUCGCAGCUGCGUGCCUGGAGGAACACAGCGGGUGCCGGCUCCGCAGAGCAGCUGUGGCGCGGUGGACGCAGGUACAUGCCCACAGAAUUCUCUGUGUUGGUGGUCUCCAGGAUAGACAUUUAUCUCUGUGACUUUGAUCUCACCAAACCCCCAAGAGCCUCAUGUCAACAAGUAAAUUUCCCUGGGUCUUACUAUAUUGCAAAUGCGAGUCUCAAACUCACUGGCUGGAGUUACUGUCCUGCCUCAGCCUAAGACAGCAGGAGCCGUCUGCUCUGUCUCUGUCCGUCUCAUUGGUUGCUGGAAUCUACUGCUUCUCUAAGCCCUCCUGGGGGUGCAUGUACCUGAUGGGUUCAAGUAAAUAGCAACCAUGUGGCUUUUGGUCAUCUUGGCCGAUGACCUCAUCAAGAUGGAAGCAACCAUGUGGCUGGCAGCCGUCUUUACUAAGUUUAAAGAGAGAGCAUGUCAUGUGAUCUUACCACCAUCUUAAGGUGGUCACAUGGUAUAAACCAAUUAAAGCAACAUCCAUAAAACUUCUUAGUCCUACUGAACCCUCUGCUUGUCAAAAUAUCUGCUUUUUUAGACUAAGGAGGCAACAGCAGGUCUCCAAGAUAAUUUGGAUUAGGAUGGAUUUUUAUAUGAUGAUUUUUGUCCUGAGAGUAAAACCUGAAGAUAAAACCAUGAACAAGGUUUUAUGAAAAAUAGGGCUUGAAAAUAACACGUUUGAUGAACAAGGUAUUAAAGCCGCACCCAUAUGCUUUUAUAUGCAAGGGUUAAAAAAUGAAAAUAGGAAGCUUUGCAGGUGAGAGAAUGCAGGGAACUCCUUUACCUUUGUAAUGUUCUUCAGGGCCAACACUGACGAUAUGUUAGAGAUGUGAAUAAAAGGCUUUCAGUGAUUUCUAUUCCUCCAUCAAGGCAGCAUAAAUGAAGUUUUGAUUUACUGUGUUCAGUAACUCUUUGCUCUUUUGAAAAAGGCUGAGUUACUGAGGGAAGCACAGAAAUAAAAAAAGUCUUUUAAAGAAGCCAAGGAAAUAUUUAUGUAAAUGGUUGCAUAAUUAUGGAAAUAUUUAGUAAAUCUAUCUAGGCCAAUGAAUAGUUUCCCAGAAGGAAAAAUUAUUAUCCUUGGAAAUGCCAGUGUGAAGAACAGAUCUUCUGGAUGUCAGCUUUCUCUCAGAAUAGUGUCAUGGAUGAACUAGAAUGCUUGUCCUUAAAUGUCCUCAAAAUGUCUGCAAAUGUCACUGGUAGAUACAUGCAGCAAUUCUAGUAAUUUUGCCAAUUCUAGUGUUCACUAUAAUUAGAGAGUUGUAGCCAGAUACAUAUCUGAGCUAAUAGAAUGCACCGACCCAGAGAACCAGGCCACAUGGAAAAGGUCAAGGCAGGAAGUGCUACCAGAGCAGAACCAAGUACGUAAGAAGAAGCUAUCUUACAGGAGAAAUCAGCCCAGGUCACCUCCAGGAAAGCAGGGACAGGGUUAUCUCAUAAUUAGAAAGCCAGAGGAAGAAAAAAAAAAAGAAAGCCAGAUGGUUCAGGUUUGUCUCCUUUGUAUUUCCUGGGGGCACAAAAUAUCCUUGAAGUCAUCCACAUUGAACCCGCAGAGAGCCUGGGAUCUGAUGUCUUGGAGUUGCAUCUCUAGGAUCCUUGUGUUAAACCUCCACACUGUUUAAAACAGAAACAGAAAUUCAUUUAGCCAGAUGGAUUCCUGGCCAUUCACAGGUGUCUCUGUGUCCAUUGGGAGAACAGAGAAGAGCAGGAAACAGAGACGCUUUAGUUUAACAGUUUUACUUAAAAAAGUAAAUAACUAUUCCUCCUUCCUUCUCUGGACCCCUUUUCCUUUUCUUUCUUUUGUGCAUCAGCCAAGGCCUUCCUGGUGGGAACAGUUGAGCCCAUUCCACCUCCUGACUUAGGACUGCUUGCCUUUGGCCAGCUUUUGAGGCCAACCUGACAGUUACUAGCAGGGACUGGCAUCCCUAGUGGGGUCUUCUGACUACAAAUAUGACUUAGGGAAGAGCAGCAGAGGCUUAAUUUCAUGACCCAGGGUCUUGCCAGGGGUUUGCACAGACUAAGAUGCCAGGCAUCAGUAUCAUUCUAGGUGAAGGAUAACAGAGACUCAAGGAGCUGAUGAAUGAGCUAUGAUGAGAAGGGACAAAAAAGGAGUCAGGAAUGUGGGGAGGGAUAUGAGAGACUAAAGAGUUAGGGCCACAGCUGUGAGUAUCAGACACUGAGAUACUAAGUGUUUCAACUGAGGGGAAAAUGCAAUAAAAUAAAAUAUUCCUACCUUGUGGUACAGCAAGACAUUGGCCUAAGUAAUCUGGCAAAGAGCCUAUAGAGCAGUGGUUCUCAACUUUCCUAAUGCUGCUACCCUUUAAUACAGUUCCUCAUGUUGUGGUGACUGCCAAACACGAAAUUAUUUUUGUUAUUACUACAUAACUGUAAAUUUGCUACUGUUAUGAAUUGUGAUGUAAAUAUCUGGUAUGUGACCCACAGGUUGAGAGCCACUGUUACAGACUCUCUCCUUGGCAAAGGUCUCCUCAGGCUAAUGAAACUGACUUGUAGAUGUAUGUCUAACCACUUACGUUUUUGCUAAUUUUUUAAAGCUUUAGCUGUUUAUAUAAACUGAGUCAUAUAAGAAACCAUGAUAUUCUGUAAGGGUACACUAUGAAAGAAUCAGAAAAGUGAAGUUUCCAGCCUCUGAUUUAAAGUUUUAUUUUGAUUCCAAACAAUCUUCAAUUCAAAAUUUUAAGGCUGAAAUUAACAGAAAUAAAACUAUAAAAUCCUAAUGUUGUAAAAGCUACUAAUUUGUUUGUAAACUGUUAAGGAAAAUUAAGACAUGAAAGUUAAUGGUUAGUCAUGUUUUUUUUUUUUUUUUUUGUCUUGUUUUACAACAAGGUCUCUUCUGUGUAGCUCUGGCUGUUCUGGAACCAGCUGUGUAGACCAGGCUGUCCUUGAACUCACAAAGAUCCACCUGCUUCUGCCUCCCAAGUGCUGGGAUUAAAGACAUGCACCACCACUGCCUCGCUAGGUCAGUCAUCUUAUAACUGAUCAAUUCUUUAAUGUCCUCAGAACUAUGCUUGUAGUCAUGGUAAACACAAAUGUAAUUCAUUUACAGAGACAAGCUUUACCUCUGUAUAUGUUUUCAAGGUUACGUCAGAAGCAGGUAAUUGAAAACAGUAAAGUUAGCCAGUUGGUGGUGACCCACGCCUUUAAUUCUAGCACUUGGGAGGCAUAGGCACGUGGAUCUCUGAGUCCGAUCCCAGUUUGGUCUACAGAGCUAGUUCCAGGACAGCUAGGGCUGCUACACAGAGAAACCUUGACUUAAAAAAAAAAAAAAGGGCUUCCUCUGAUAGGCAAAAAUAUCAACUUCUGUAGCAGCAGCUAAGGGUCCUCCAAAAAAAAAUGGGCAGCAACAGACUCAACCGGAAGCUUACUUCAAGUGUGACAAUGCUGACCACUGGGCAAUAAACUGUUCCAUGCCUCUCCCAUUGUCAUGGCCCUGCACAGCAUUGUUGGGCUGAUUCCUUUAUUCUGCCUUGCCAAGAUGGGUCAGUUCUCCCAAGUUCCUCCUCCACAGGAAAAAAAAGUCUCUCAGACCGUUAGGUCCCGCAGCCAAAGGCUGAUACUGCUGACUUGGGUGACAGCUUGAGACUUAAAGCUGUCCUGUGUGACAGCAAGAGACUGAUGACCUCUGCCAUCGAGAUCACCAUGGAGGAGCAAGGCUGGCUGUCCAGGUGAUGGUUACGGUAAGUCUCUGUCAUUGCAAUUGAUACGGAGAGCAUUUGACUUAAACUUACUUCUCAGAUCUCUAUGAGGGUGUCGCUAGCAAGCUGUGGCUUUAUCAGUUUAGGGGCAGCAAGUCAACCUCAGCCAGCUCUUCCACACAAGGCUGCAGCUGCCUGGUCAGGCCAUUUCACAUGAGAAAAGCACAACUUGCUUUUCCUAGAGCCAGCAGUCCUGCUGAGAAAGGCAGACUCACAGACAGGUUCGCCUUGCCAACAGGCUUCACAUUGAAAAAGAUAACAGGUGUCAAUGUGACUGACUUAAUCAACCAACUAUGCUUCAUGUUAAUGGUUGGAUGAAAACAAUGUUUAAAGUUUAUUUAAGUUAUGAGGGUCUAAGAAAAUGAUUUAAGGUAUAUAAAUACCAGUUUCGAGGAUCUACAGAAAUGGUUAAAGGUAUGUAAUGCAAGUUAUAAUCUCUGAAGAAAUGACUUAAGGUAUGCGAAAAAUAAUACUUUAAAAUGAUACACAAUGGAGUUCUAGCUUUGGUAAAACACUGGCUACUAUUUAUUAUGGUCAUAUUUAGCUCAAAAUUUCCAAUUCCUUUGGUUAUUUUCUAAAUGUGGACUUAAAAAUGCUUCUCCCUAGGACUGGAGAGAUGGCUCAGAGGUUAAGAGAACUGGCUGCUCUUCCAGAGGUCCUGAGUUCAGUUCCCAGUAACCACACAGUGGCUCACAACCAUCAAUAAUGAGAUCUGGUGUCCUCUUCUGACAUGUAGGCUAUGCUUACAGAGCACUGUAUCAUAAUAAAUAAACAAACAAACAAAUAAAUCUUUAAAAAGUG